AGAGAGAGACAUGCGCGCAUAUCAAUAAGCGGAGGAAAAGAAACUAACAAGGAUUCCCCUAGUAACGGCGAGUGAAGCGGGAAGAGCUCAAAUUUGAAAUCUUAAAGGGUUUCCCUUUACGAAUUGUAGUUUAAAGAAGUGUUUUCUGAUGAGGUUUUGGUAAAAGUUCUUUGGAAUAGGACAUCAUAGAGGGUGAGAAUCCCGUAUUUGACCUUUACUUUCAACUUUGUGAUACACUUUCAAAGAGUCGGAUUGUUUGGGAAUGCAGUCCAAAAUGGGUGGUAAAUUUCAUCUAAAGCUAAAUAUUGGCGAGAGACCGAUAGCGAACAAGUACCGUGAGGGAAAGAUGAAAAGAACUUUGAAAAGAGAGUUAAACAGUACGUGAAAUUGUCAAAAGGGAAGCGUUUGACACCAGUGUUGUUUUUCUGAAAAUCAAUUAAAGAACUGUUUAUGCUAAGUUGUUUAGACUUUAUCAGCUAACUGUUUAGUUUUGAGCUUUUCUUUAAUGCACCUUUUCAGUUAACAAGUCAACAUCAAUUUCUUUUGCUGUAAAAAAGCUUGAGGAAGGUGGCUUGAGAUUCGUCUUAAGUGUUUAUAGCCUCUUGCCUAUGCAGUCGGAGAGAUUGAGGUCUGCAGCGUAGAUCCUUCGGGGCUAAAUGCAUUUGUGCUAAGUUAUAGCAUUUUAUAGACAACUUGUUGCCUAUGAUUUGUCUUGUAGCUUACUCGCUUAUGUUAUUUUACCUACGCUUAGGAUGUUGAGCGCAUGUCUCUCUCU
Molecule: ribosomal RNA, 775 nt
Filed under: uncultured Neocallimastigales
Lineage: Eukaryota; Fungi; Neocallimastigomycota; Neocallimastigomycetes; Neocallimastigales
Description: partial large subunit ribosomal RNA
Rfam family: Eukaryotic large subunit ribosomal RNA
Source: RNAcentral